UUCACAGUAAUUAGGAGAAAAAAUGCCAAAAAUGAAAAUUUAUUUCUCCCUACAAAAAUCGGCCAUGAACAAACCCAAUACUCUCUGUCUGCUCACACACAAUCUCAAUCUUCUUCCCUUCUCACUUCCGAUUCAACCAAAGUAAAACUCCACUCACGAAUCCGGAUAACUCUCACGUUUCCGGCUAUACCACUCAUGAAUCCGGCCAAACCUCUCACAACCCUAGCCAUGGCGCUCACAAAUCCGGCCAUGGGCUCGCGAAUCCGGCCACGGCGCGAUCGUCACUUAUGAAUCCGGCGAUGACUCUCUCCUUACCACACAAAUGCGCGGCCGAUGUAAACAAGAAGGACAUGACAAAAUGAAACAGAGGUACGAUUUCGAAAUAGACCAUAUCACAAUGGAAGGGGAUCAAAAGCGGAAACGAAGGAACAUACCUUCGACGGUAACCGGUUUGCACAGAGGUAAGGAUUGGUCCUUGCUGUCAAAUUUAUGCAAUUGGUAUUGGGUUACAAAAUUCUUUCUAGGAGGACAAGCACUGCCUUAACAUUUUAGUGAAAAUUCAUGCAAAUUCAUGCUUUGUCAUGGUUUUUGUGUUGCCUUUGUAUUCUUUCCCAAUUUAUGUUAACCUGAUUUUAUUUUUCUAUUGCAAUAGGACAAAAAUUAUGCUUCAAGUCACUUGUCCAAGUUGAUACUAAGGUUCAUGAGUAGAAAAAAAUGUACCUUAUUAUAAUGUAAAAACUUAUUUCUAUAUCUUCUGAAUUUUUCUAUAUUUGCGACGUAGAAGACAAAUUAUAAUCUAAAAACAUAUUUUUCUGAA
Molecule: long non-coding RNA, 817 nt
Organism: Lathyrus oleraceus (garden pea)
Lineage: Eukaryota; Viridiplantae; Streptophyta; Magnoliopsida; Fabales; Fabaceae
Exons: 2
Source: RefSeq, a predicted model, not a curated record